This 497-nucleotide ribosomal RNA is filed under the name uncultured bacterium. RNAcentral's name for it is "partial 16S ribosomal RNA". It matches the Rfam family "Bacterial small subunit ribosomal RNA", at positions 28 to 507 of the family's 1533-position model. The record is from RNAcentral.
GAUGAACGCUGGCGGCGUGCCUAAUACAUACAAGUCGAGCGAACGGACGAGAAGCUUGCUUUUCUGAUGUUAGCGGCGGACGGGUGAGUAACACGUGGAUAACCUACCUAUAAGACUGGGAUAACUUCGGGAAACCGGAGCUAAUACCGGAUAAUAUUUUGAACCGCAUGGUUCAUAAGUGAAAGACGGUCUUGCUGUCACUUAUAGAUGGAUCCGCGCUGCAUUAGCUAGUUGGUAAGGUAACGGCUUACCAAGGCAACGAUGCAUAGCCGACCUGAGAGGGUGAUCGGCCACACUGGAACUGAGACACGGUCCAGACUCCUACGGGAGGCAGCAGUAGGGAAUCUUCCGCAAUGGGCGAAAGCCUGACGGAGCAACGCCGCGUGAGCGAUGAAGGUCUUCGGAUCGUAAAACUCUGUUAUUAGGGAAGAACAUAUGUGUAAGUAACUGUGCACAUCUUGACGGUACCUAAUCAGAAAGCCACGGCUAACUACGUG